GGGAGCAAGCUCGCCGUGCUUCCCCUGCCCCCGAAGGGAAGGCGACAUUGGCCUCA
Molecule: non-coding RNA, 56 nt
Filed under: Scrippsiella hangoei
Lineage: Eukaryota; Dinophyceae; Peridiniales; Peridiniaceae
Source: RNAcentral